AAAAACAUCAAGACACAGACUGAUUCGAGUGUCAUCGGCUUGAGCUAAAUCGAAAGCAACUUCAGAUUGCGGGAUGUGAUCGGGAGAUCAAACAAAAGACACGCGACCAAGUUGAAACAUCCCUUGCUGUAGAGAGACUAGUGGAAGAAACAUCCAAUGCUGCAAGACUGAGCCACAGCUUCCUGUAACUGCAAGCCGAUAUUGGUGGUGGAACAUUUAAUGCGAAAAACCCCACACACCCUCCUCCCUGCCUCCAAGCUCCUCCUACUCCAUCGUCAUGGCGAUGAGCAGUGAUCCUGGUUGCAUGGGGGUGGGCCCUGACCCAGACUCCUCCCAGACCACUGAGAUGACUGAUAAGAUGUCUGUGGUGUCGCUAAGGUCCGAUACCUCCUCCAGUGUAGUGAAGAAUGGGACAGGUGUUAAGAAAGCUCCGCCCAAGAGGCCACACCUGUCAGGCAGGAAGAUGUCAUUGCAAGAGAGAGGAACGUAUGUGUCUUCUGGGAGCGGGGCUGACCGCUAUUCCCGCAUAGCCAGACAGCCGACCAUCGAGUCCAAACAAGUGUCCAUCUCAGACU
Long non-coding RNA from Sinocyclocheilus rhinocerous, 575 nucleotides. RefSeq lists it as uncharacterized. The record is from RefSeq and is a predicted model, not a curated record. The transcript has 3 exons. NCBI's taxonomy places the organism in Eukaryota, Metazoa, Chordata, Actinopteri, Cypriniformes, Cyprinidae.